Non-coding RNA from Lentinus tigrinus ALCF2SS1-7, 104 nucleotides. NCBI's taxonomy places the organism in Eukaryota, Fungi, Basidiomycota, Agaricomycetes, Polyporales, Polyporaceae. The record is from the annotation of a GenBank genome assembly.
GGGUCGGUGGCGUAGUUGGUUAUCGCAUCUGUCUAACAUUGCUCUCCUCCAAGGUUUGCCCUUGAGUGCACAGAAGGUCCUCAGUUCGAACCUGGGCCGACUCA